Molecule: long non-coding RNA, 518 nt
Organism: Dromaius novaehollandiae (emu)
Lineage: Eukaryota; Metazoa; Chordata; Aves; Casuariiformes; Dromaiidae
Exons: 3
Source: RefSeq, a predicted model, not a curated record
GCAGGGUCCCCAAGGUGGCACCAGGUCCCUGGGUGGUCCUGGAGGUGCAGGACACAAGGUCAUGGGAUGGGUGAAGGUCCCCAGGGUGGCACCAGGUCCCUGGGUGGUCCUGGAGGUGCAGGACACAGUGUCAUGGGAUGGGUGCAGGGUCCCCAGGGUGGCACCAGGUCCCUGGGUGGUCCUGGAGGUGCAGGACACAAGGUCAUGGGAUGGGUGAAGGUCCCCAGGGUGGCACCAGGUCCCUGGGUGGUCCUAGAGGUGCAGGACACAGUGUCAUGGGAUGGGUGCAGGGUCCCCAAGGUGGCACCAGGUCCCUGGGUGGUCCUGGAGGUGCAGGACACAGUGUCAUGGGAUGGGUGCAGGGUCCCCAGGGUGGCACCAGGUCCCUGGGUGGUCCUGGAGGUGCAGGACACAAGGUCAUGGGAUGGGUGAAGGUCCCCAGGGUGGCACCAGGUCCCUGGGUGGUCCUAGAGGUGCAGGACACAAGGUCAUGGGAUGGGUGCAGGGUCUCCAGGGUG